AGAAAAUAUCAAACUGAAAAAUAAAAUUCUCUAGAAAUGGCUUCUCGAUUCUGUCAUCCUUUUCUCUUCAGUGUUUUGUUGGUUGCUCUGGUUCUGACAGCAGGAGAAGCAACAGCAGAACCAAAAUUUGGAUUCCUGAAUCAUUGCAUCGGCCUUUGUUCUGGUGGAUUACCACAAUGCAAGAGCGAUUGCGCAAAAAUGGGCUUUAAGGAUGCUCUCUGUAUCGAUAAAAUAAAU
Molecule: small RNA, 237 nt
Filed under: Vigna angularis var. angularis
Lineage: Eukaryota; Viridiplantae; Streptophyta; Magnoliopsida; Fabales; Fabaceae
Description: Non-protein coding transcript
Source: RNAcentral